RNAcentral lists this ribosomal RNA (391 nucleotides) under uncultured Sphingobacterium sp. Its description in RNAcentral is "bacterial SSU rRNA". It matches the Rfam family "Bacterial small subunit ribosomal RNA", at positions 9 to 403 of the family's 1533-position model. The record is from RNAcentral. Lineage: Bacteria; Pseudomonadati; Bacteroidota; Sphingobacteriia; Sphingobacteriales; Sphingobacteriaceae.
GAGUUUGAUCGUGGCUCAGGAUGAACGCUAGCUGGAGGCUUAAUACAUGCAAGUCGAGCGGGAUUGGUAGCAAUACCAUGAGAGCGGCGCACGGGUGAGUAACGCGUACACGACCUACCUUUGACUGGGGGAUAGCCCUGGGAAACUGGGAUUAAUACCGCAUAUAAUUCUGAUUAAUAAAGGAUUGGAAUGAAAGUUCAGGCGGUCAGAGAUGGGUGUGCGUCUGAUUAGCUAGUUGGUGAGGUAACGGCUCACCAAGGCGAUGAUCAGUAGGGGGCGUGAGAGCGUGGUCCCCCACACGGGUACUGAGACACGGACCCGACUCCUACGGGAGGCAGCAGUAACGGAAUAUUGGUCAAUGGGGGAAACCCUGAACCAGCCAUCCAGCGUG